This 504-nucleotide ribosomal RNA is filed under the name uncultured bacterium. Its description in RNAcentral is "partial 16S ribosomal RNA". It matches the Rfam family "Bacterial small subunit ribosomal RNA", at positions 28 to 507 of the family's 1533-position model. The record is from RNAcentral.
AACGAACGCUGGCAGCGUGGAUUAGGCAUGCAAGUCGAACGGGAUCCGGAAGGUAGCAAUACCGGCCGGUGAGAGUGGCGGAAGGGCGAGGAGCACGUGGACAACCUGUCCCGUGGGUGGGGAUACCGUCCCGAAAGGGGCGUUAAUACCGAAUGGGGCCCCGGACCGCAUGGUCCGGCGGCCAAAGGCCGGGACCGCAAGGCCCGCCCCCCCGGGAGGGGUCCGCGCACCAUCAGCUAGACGGCGGGGUAACGGCCCACCGUGGCUUACGGUUAGCUGGUCUGAGAGGACGACCAGCCGCACUGGGACUGAGACACUGCCCAGACUCCUACGGGAGGCUGCAGUCGAGGAUCAUUCGCAAUGGGCGAAAGCCUGACGAUGCGACGCUGCGUGGAGGAUGAAGGCCCUCGGGUCGUAAACUCCUGUCAUGGGGGGCGAGGCGGAGGCGGUUAACGGCCGCCCGAGUUGACGGUACCCCAAGAGGAAGCCACGGCUAACUCUGUG